GUGCCCUGCGAAGGCUGACACAGUGCCUGCAGGGUAAAGGAAGCCUCUGUAAAACCCAGAGAAGACACUGUGAAACUCCUCUUUGAAUCCUGUCUGGAGUCACGGCU
Small nucleolar RNA from Fukomys damarensis (Damara mole-rat), 107 nucleotides. NCBI's taxonomy places the organism in Eukaryota, Metazoa, Chordata, Mammalia, Rodentia, Bathyergidae. The record is from Ensembl.